Molecule: ribosomal RNA, 253 nt
Filed under: uncultured bacterium
Lineage: Bacteria
Description: partial 16S ribosomal RNA
Rfam family: Bacterial small subunit ribosomal RNA
Source: RNAcentral
UACGGAGGGUGCAAGCGUUGCUCGGAAUCACUGGGCGUAAAGCGUACGCAGGCGGCACGUUAAGUCAGGUGUGAAAGCCCGGGGCUCAACCCCGGAACUGCACUUGAAACUGGCGAGCUUGAAUACGGGAGAGGGAAGCGGAAUUCCUGGUGUAGAGGUGAAAUUCGUAGAUAUCAGGAGGAACAUCAGUGGCGAAGGCGGCUUCCUGGCCCGAUAUUGACGCUCAUGUACGAAAGCGUGGGUAGCAAACAGG